GUAGAUUUAGUUUAACUAAAACAUUAGAUUGUGAUUCUGAAGACAGAGGUUAAAGUCCCCUAAUCCACC
RNAcentral lists this transfer RNA (69 nucleotides) under Plectroglyphidodon fasciolatus (Pacific gregory). RNAcentral describes it as "tRNA-His". It matches the Rfam family "tRNA". From Rfam's summary of the family: Transfer RNA (tRNA) molecules are approximately 80 nucleotides in length. Their secondary structure includes four short double-helical elements and three loops (D, anti-codon, and T loops). The record is from RNAcentral. Lineage: Eukaryota; Metazoa; Chordata; Actinopteri; Pomacentridae.